GACGAACGCUGGCGGCGUGCUUAACACAUGCAAGUCGAACGGAAAGGCCCUGCUUUUGUGGGGUGCUCGAGUGGCGAACGGGCGAGUAACACGUGAGUAACCUGCCCUUGACUUUGGGAUAACUUCAGGAAACUGGGGCUAAUACCGGAUAGGAGCUCCUGCUGCAUGGUGGGGGUUGGAAAGUUUCGGCGGUUGGGGAUGGACUCGCGGCUUAUCAGCUUGUUGGUGGGGUAGUGGCUUACCAAGGCUUUGACGGGUAGCCGGCCUGAGAGGGUGACCGGCCACCCUGGAGCUGAGACACGGUCAAGAGUACUGCGAGAGGCAGCAGUAUCGUACGGUACGCAGUGGUCGAGAGUAUGACGCAGCAACGCGGAGCGUGAUACGACGGCCUCCCGAUCGUAAUACCGGGUUACGAGUUAUGAACCACUUUGGACGGAGACAAGCACUUAGUGACGGUAACUAAUAAGAAAGCACCGGCUAACUACGUG
Molecule: ribosomal RNA, 488 nt
Filed under: uncultured bacterium
Lineage: Bacteria
Description: partial 16S ribosomal RNA
Rfam family: Bacterial small subunit ribosomal RNA
Source: RNAcentral